RNAcentral lists this long non-coding RNA (284 nucleotides) under Elaeis guineensis (African oil palm). Its description in RNAcentral is "long non-coding RNA (EGUI_LNC028601)". Lineage: Eukaryota; Viridiplantae; Streptophyta; Magnoliopsida; Arecales; Arecaceae. The record is from RNAcentral.
GAGGGCGAUUGUCCUCUUCUUCUUCAUAUUUUUUUCUUGAUGUUGUUUCAUGCUUAGCUCGUGUGUCAUUAGCGAUCCUAGAAACUCCUCCAAGGGUAAAAUAUUUAGAUCUUUGACUUCUUGGAUUGCGGUCACUUUGGCCUCCCACGUCUUUUGUAAAGAUCUAAAAAUCUUUCUCAUAAGAUCGCUGUUAGAGUAAGACUUAUCAAGAUUUUUUAGACCAUUAAUAAUAUCUGUAAAAUGAGUAAACAUUUCAGUUAUUGAUUCAUCAUGCUCUAUUUUAA